AAAUCUCGACGAAUUUUUUCCACGUAUCCACGAUACACGACUAAAAGUUUUCUUAACUUUCAACAAGGUUAGAACAUAUACAGUCCAUCAAUAAAUUAAGCCAAGAGGAAAAAAAACUCAUGUGUUUGUGGAUUGCCAAUGCCAAUGUUCAACUUCAACAUUACUAGACCAUGUCAUAUUCGAGGAAUUCUAAUUGGAGCCAACCUGGUACGAGUCACCGACCUAAUUCCAAAGCUGUAAAACCAAAAAAUGGCUAUGUUUUGAUUGCUGACAUUGGUUCUCCUACUUCAAAGAUAUUACAUUGUGACAGAACAUAUGCUCAACAGAUUAAAGAAUGCCUUAUUGCGUUCAUCCAACAGAAAAUAUUCAUAAAUAAUGCAAUUGAUGAUGUAGCUGUUAUAUUGAGUGGAUCAGAUAAGACACAAAAUAGCCUUGAUUAUAAGAACAUUCAAGUUCUGAAGAACAUGGAGAAAGUCAGUUGGGAGACAGCAAAACUUGUGAAUGAAACUGUACAAACAAAAAAUUGUGAAGGAGAUUGGAUGGAUGCCUUGGGUGUUGCACUAGACCUGAUCCACAGGAAAGUGAAAGCUGGGAAUGUCUACAGUUCCAUUCAAAUAAUAUUUUUUACUGCAUUUGAGUCACCCUUCAAAACUUCUGAGAGAACCCAGAAAGCCUAUAUAUCUGCCCUUUUGGCUGAACAUACCAGCCUGUUUAUUGUAGGAUCAAACAUAAAUCAAGAAAUGCUAGAGAAUGAAGAAAAGAUGAGUAAAGGAGAACUAACUGCCUGUCAACUUAUUCAAGAGGCUAAUGGAGGAAUUUAUAGCUUUGGAGAUUUUUCUGCUGAUGUGGUUAACGUAACGGAGCAACCAAAAAUUGGUUCACCGUUUAAUGUAACUUUAGAUAUUGGAUCUAAAAUCCAAAUUCCAAUUUCUGCUUACAUAAAAACGAAAAAGAGCGAUAGCCUUAAAUGGAGUGAAGAAAUAAGCACUGGUGAAGCCCUUGUUGAUAAAGAAAGAACCUAUCAGAAGGAACAAUCGAACGCAAUUAUAGACAAACAAGAUGUCUUGACUGCUUUCAAAUAUGGUAGCAGAAUCAUCCCAAUAACAGUUGAGGACGAGAAACGGUGGAGUUACAAGUCUGGAAACAAAUGCUUGUCCGUCUUAGCUUUUGUAGAUCCCAUUCCUCCUCAGUUUGGUUCAGGGACCGGAACAAGAUUUAUUUUUUCACACCGGAAAUCGGGCGUUGUUGAUCGCAAUUCACAAAUUGCCUUAUCAGCCCUUAUUAACGCAAUGGCAGAGACGGGUAAAGUUGCACUUGUUCGAUAUGUUUAUGCGAACAACUGCCGCAUGGCCCUUGGAGUUCUUUCGCCGCGAAUCAAAUUCAAAUAUGAGUGUUUAGUUUUUCACGAACUACCUUUCGCCGAUGACUGGCGUCAGUAUGAGUUCCCACCCAUCAUCACUCCAAAAAGUCAACCUAGUCAUGAACAAAUGGAGGCAAUCGAUCAGUUGAUCGACAAACUAGAUUUGACGGACGCUGAAGCAUUUGAUUCAACGAAAAUGUCUGAUCCCUAUGAAGAGUAUGUUCGCCACGUAAUUGGCUUUAAAGUUCUGAAUCCUGAAGAUCCGUUACCCGAAAUUCCGCCGCACAUAAAAAUGAACCUCCAGCCAUCCCCAUCAUUAAUGGAAGGAGCGAAAGAUGUUUUAGAACGCAUUCAGCAAUUGUUUCCACUACAAAUAACUGGGAAGCUUAAAGUCAACGAUUUUGAAGCUUCUAAACGAGAAGCCAUCCCGGCGACUGCCGAAGAAAUGGAAAGGGAGAUUCAGAAUAAAAAAUCUCGGUUGGAUGUAGGCGGUGAUGUCGAUCUAGGGUUCAUUUUAGGAAUGAACAGUGUUGAUAAGGUUGGAACAACAAACCCAGUCAAAGAUUUCUCGCUUCUUCUUCAAAGUGGCAAGAAAUCAGUUGAAGAAAUCUAUGAUGAAAUGUCAAAAGUUAUACUUGAGUUACUUGAAGACAGUGGAGGCACUAAUGUUCCUCUAAUGGUAAAAGCCAAGAAUUGCAUUGAAGCUUAUCGGGAACAUUCCGUGGCAGAGGGCCGUGUGGCUUAUUUUAACCGCUGGAUGAAGCAGUUUAAAGAACAAGUCAUCAGCAAUUACUUCACUGACUUUUGGCAAAAAUAUUUGACUGAAUCACUGGGUUUGAUCACGAAAGACGAAUGUCCUUUAUCUGACGUUGACAAACAUCAAGCUGAGACAUUCCUUCGAUUACCUAAACAGCAACAAGUGAACGAAAUCGAUUCCGUGGAUGAAGAUGAAGAACUGCUCAAUUUGAUUGACUGAGACAAGUCCAGGUGGUCAGCAGUUGAGAGACGGGAGCAUUGAACGAGAAGUCGGUGAAUGUGUGUCGCAAAAGAUGGGUGAAAAUGAAUUGGAUGGUCUGGAUGAGUUGUAAUAACCGUCAUGCAGCAUAGC
Molecule: unclassified non-coding RNA, 2468 nt
Filed under: Daphnia pulicaria
Lineage: Eukaryota; Metazoa; Arthropoda; Branchiopoda; Diplostraca; Daphniidae
Description: x-ray repair cross-complementing protein 5-like, transcript variant X3
Source: RNAcentral